UACGGGGGGUGCGAGCGUUGUCCGGAAUCACUGGGCGUAAAGGGCGCGUAGGUGGUUUGAUAAGGGUGUGGUGAAAGUCCGGAGCUCAACUCCGGAUCUGCCGUGCCGACUGUCAAACUCGAGGGCUGUAGAGGCAGACGGAAUUCCGGGUGUAGCGGUGGAAUGCGUAGAGAUCCGGAGGAAGACCGGUGGCGAAGGCGGUCUGCUGGGCAGUUUCUGACACUGAGGCGCGACGAGCGUGGGGAGCAAACAGG
Molecule: ribosomal RNA, 254 nt
Filed under: uncultured bacterium
Lineage: Bacteria
Description: partial 16S ribosomal RNA
Rfam family: Bacterial small subunit ribosomal RNA
Source: RNAcentral